GACGAACGCUGGCGGCGUGCUUAACACAUGCAAGUCGAACGGAAAGGCCCUGCUUUUGUGGGGUGCUCGAGUGGCGAACGGGUGAGUAACACGUGAGUAACCUGCCCUUGACUUUGGGAUAACUUCAGGAAACUGGGGCUAAUACCGGAUAGGAGCUCCUGCUGCAUGGUGGGGGUUGGAAAGUUUCGGCGGUUGGGGAUGGACUCGCGGCUUAUCAGCUUGUUGGUGGGGUAGUGGCUUACCAAGGCUUUGACGGGUAGCCGGCCUGAGAGGGUGACCGGCCACAUGGGGAAUGAGAUAAGGACGAGACGGCUACGGGAGGCAGCAGGGGGGAAUAUGGGACAAGGGGCGGAAGCGUGAUGCAGCAACGCCGCGGGGGGGAGGACGGCAUUCGGGGUGUAAACCGAUGUCGACGGGGAAGAAGCGUGAGUGACGGUAAUGGGUAAAGAAGAACCGGCUAACUAAGUG
RNAcentral lists this ribosomal RNA (468 nucleotides) under uncultured bacterium. Its description in RNAcentral is "partial 16S ribosomal RNA". It matches the Rfam family "Bacterial small subunit ribosomal RNA", at positions 28 to 507 of the family's 1533-position model. The record is from RNAcentral.